GACGAACGCUGGCGGCGUGCUUAACACAUGCAAGUCGAACGGAAAGGCCCUGCUUUUGUGGGGUGCUCGAGUGGCGAAAGGGUGAGUAACACGUGAGUAAACCGCCCUUGAAUUUGGGAUAACUUCAGGAAACUGGGGCUAAUACCGGGAAGGAGCUCUUGCUGCAUGGUGGGGGAUGGAAAAUUUCGGCGGUUGGGGAUGGACUCGCGGCUUAUCAGCUUGUUGGUUGGGUAGUGGCUUACCAAGGUUUCGACGGAUAGACGGCCUGAGAGGGUAACCGGCCUCAUUAGGACUGAGGUACGGCCCAGUCGGCUACGGGAGGCAGCAGUGGAAAGUAUUACAGAAUGAACGGAAGCGUGAUACAACAGCGCCGCGUUCGGAAAGACGUCCUUCGAGUUAUGAACCUAUUUCUCCUGUAACGAGGCGUGAUUGACGGUAAUUAAUAAGAAAGCACCGGCUAACUACGUG
RNAcentral lists this ribosomal RNA (468 nucleotides) under uncultured bacterium. Its description in RNAcentral is "partial 16S ribosomal RNA". It matches the Rfam family "Bacterial small subunit ribosomal RNA", at positions 28 to 507 of the family's 1533-position model. The record is from RNAcentral.